UUUUCUACAAAUCGGAAUGACUUGAAGUUUAGCGUGUGUUCAUCAAAAAUAGGCGAAUCUACAAAAAAUAUCAAAAAAAUAUUUUACAUGAAAAAAAUUGACCAAAAUACCCCCGAAAAGUUUCAAGGGUAUUUUGGUCGAUGUUCUUCGCGAAUUAUGUUUUUUAUAUUUUUAUUAGGUACGCCUCACUAAGAUGUACACACGCUCCAAAUUUCAGGUCAUUCCGAUUUGUAGAAAA
RNAcentral lists this microRNA precursor (238 nucleotides) under Amborella trichopoda. Its description in RNAcentral is "MIR8562 microRNA precursor family". It matches the Rfam family "MIR8562 microRNA precursor family". Lineage: Eukaryota; Viridiplantae; Streptophyta; Magnoliopsida; Amborellales; Amborellaceae. The record is from Rfam by way of RNAcentral.